This 1000-nucleotide long non-coding RNA is filed under the name Nicotiana benthamiana. Its description in RNAcentral is "long non-coding RNA (NBEN_LNC003622)". The record is from RNAcentral. Lineage: Eukaryota; Viridiplantae; Streptophyta; Magnoliopsida; Solanales; Solanaceae.
AUCACCGUAAAAACCAAAAGAACAACAAAAUCAGGACCGUUGAUUUGGCUUGAUGGUUUCGUCACCCUCUAUGCUUCUUUCUAACCAUAUCUUGUUUACUUGUCAAAAAAGGCCACAAUAUUUGUUGUGUGAUGAAAUAGGUGGGUAAUAACGCUUCUUCCUCACAUAUACAACGACAACCAGACUAAGUUCAACUCCUACGCUAUCGAUUCUCUCUCUCUCUCUCUCUCUCUCUCUCUCAUAGAACGGUAGAAUUAAAAGAAAAUUAGAGUUUUAUUUUAUUCAUCUCUCUGUUUUUUAUGAGUUUUUGAAAGUUGAAAGGUGUUUUAUGGAGGAACCGAAGCUGAAGAUGGAGGGGAUUUUGGAGAGAUUUUCACCUGUUAAUACAACUCCUGUCUUCUGGAAGUCUAGGAAACGAUCUGGUACUUGUCUCAGACCUUGCUCUUAAUUUUUUUCUCCGUCAACUAGUAAUUUAAGAUCAAUUAAAGUACUAAACAUGUUGAUUGUAAGUAUUUUAUAUUCAUUUAAGACGGAAUUUGUCGAAAAUUUGUGCGAAGUUCUCUGUGAGUUGCAUGCAGAACACUAGAUCUCGCUCUCCCUCUCAUGUUAGGAAAAUGCUUUCUUAGGUAUCCUCUCUAUUAGUGUUACCUCUUUGUUUCUUAGUGAAAUUGUACUUCUCUGAAUUUUCUAAUUACUAAGUAAGUAUCUGUUCAUUUUCCUCUGCUUAAGUUUUUCCUUCAAAUCAUUUUCUUUCCUCUUUCUUUUUUCCCCGGGAAAAGGGAUAAUUUGGGACAUUAUAGGUUAGGUGUAGGUCUCCUACAACAACAACAACCCAGUAUAAUCUCACAUUAGCAACAUGUGGGAUUAGCAAGAUUUGGUGGUGUCUUUGCCGACACGUCAUUUCUAUAUUAUAGCUAAUUACAGAGCUUGAUCUUUGAAUAUACGGUUAAGGGUCAAAUAUAUCCUUGUACUAUUCAAAAUAGGCCAUAUUUAUCCUCCG